Long non-coding RNA from Ruditapes philippinarum (Manila clam), 742 nucleotides. RefSeq lists it as uncharacterized. The transcript has 2 exons. NCBI's taxonomy places the organism in Eukaryota, Metazoa, Mollusca, Bivalvia, Venerida, Veneridae. The record is from RefSeq and is a predicted model, not a curated record.
AAUCAAUCCGUUGAUUGGAUGUGGCAAGAGCUUUCCAUAUUUCCAAGUAAGGAGAGGCUAAAUGGGUUCUGUUUGAAAAGAUCCAGCAUUUUUGAAAAGCAAUUAACAGAUACGAAACAAUGUGUCUCUGUGAAAAGGGCAGGCUAAAGGUUUCAACAGCACCGGCCGAAAAAGUGGAGAUAUAAUUUCAGCAUUGAACAAGGGCAGGGCAAUAUGUAUAUAUACAUGUGUAGCGUUGUCAGACUAUAUGGAUAGUCGGGCCUCGGUGACAAAAAUGAUGAAAUAACAUUGUGUUUUUUCAGUGUCUUAACAUUCAGUUCAAGAUUCAUUUUAUUUUAAAAUGUCUUUUUACAAUAUUUUUUUUUACAAAACUUCCAUGGUAAAGUAAGUGCAAUUUAGCACUGGUAAGAUAUUUACUUGAAGGAUUGAUUUUCAGAACAGAAAUGCAAAUACAAUGUAUAUAAAUAAUAAUUAUAAUAAUUAUUUGUGUAAAAUGUAUUGCAAUUUUGAAUUAUAAUAUGAAUUUAGAUAGAUUCAUACAACUUUAAUCUUGGUAGAGCUAAUUUGUAAGAAUAUUUAAUGGAAUCUGACUUAAAGUAAAAAAAAAUAUUUAUCAUUAGUGGGUGGGGUAAUGUUUUAUACCAGUCUAAAUGAUGAUGUAUAGAUUAUGCAGUGUUGCGACUUUUUGAAUGUAAUCAACAUUGGUUGAAAUGUUUUGGAUUAAAUAAAGCAUGUUUGUGUA